GCGUCCGUAGCUCAGCCGGAUAGAGCAACGGCCUUCUAAGCCGUGGGUCGAGGGUUCGAAUCCCCCCGGAUGCACCA
This 77-nucleotide transfer RNA is filed under the name Selenomonas sp. F0473. RNAcentral's name for it is "tRNA-Arg". It matches the Rfam family "tRNA". Rfam says of the family: Transfer RNA (tRNA) molecules are approximately 80 nucleotides in length. Their secondary structure includes four short double-helical elements and three loops (D, anti-codon, and T loops). Further hydrogen bonds mediate the characteristic L-shaped molecular structure. tRNAs have two regions of fundamental functional importance: the anti-codon, which is responsible for specific mRNA codon recognition, and the 3' end, to which the tRNAs corresponding amino acid is attached (by aminoacyl-tRNA synthetases). tRNAs cope with the degeneracy of the genetic code in two manners: having more than one tRNA (with a specific anti-codon) for a particular amino acid; and 'wobble' base-pairing, i.e. permitting non-standard base-pairing at the 3rd anti-codon position. The record is from RNAcentral. Lineage: Bacteria; Bacillati; Bacillota; Negativicutes; Selenomonadales; Selenomonadaceae.